UGGUGGAGUGAUUUGUCUGGUUAAUUCCGAUAACGAACGAGACCCCGUCCUACUUACUAGACGGAGGUUUCUUUGACCUCCGAGUCUUCUUAGAGGGACAACUGGCGUUUAUCUAGCUACAUGAAAUGGGCAAUAACA
RNAcentral lists this ribosomal RNA (138 nucleotides) under uncultured eukaryote. Its description in RNAcentral is "partial 18S ribosomal RNA". It matches the Rfam family "Eukaryotic small subunit ribosomal RNA", at positions 1299 to 1458 of the family's 1831-position model. The record is from RNAcentral.